Molecule: ribosomal RNA, 464 nt
Filed under: uncultured bacterium
Lineage: Bacteria
Description: partial 16S ribosomal RNA
Rfam family: Bacterial small subunit ribosomal RNA
Source: RNAcentral
GACGAACGCUGGCGGCGUGCCUAACACAUGCAAGUCGAGCGAAUGAAGUUCCUUCGGGAAUGGAUUUAGCGGCGGACGGGUGAGUAACACGUGGGCAACCUGCCUCAUAGAGGGGAAUAGCCUUCCGAAAGGGAGAUUAAUACCGCAUAAGAUUGUAGUAUCGCAUGAUACAGCAAUUAAAGGAGCAAUCCGCUAUGAGAUGGACCCGCGGCGCAUUAGCUAGUUGGUGAGGUAACGGCCCACCAAGGCGACGAUGCGUAGCCGACCUGAGAGGGUGAUCGGCCACACUGGGACUGAGACACGGCCCAGACUCCUACGGGAGGCAGCAGUGGGGUAUAUUGCACAAUGGGGGAAACCCUGAUGCAGCAACGCCGCGUGAGUGAUGACGGCCUUCGGGUUGUAAAGCUCUGUCUUCAGGGACGAUAAUGACGGUACCUGAGGAGGAAGCCACGGCUAACUACGUG